This is a small nucleolar RNA of Carlito syrichta (Philippine tarsier), 132 nucleotides long. NCBI's taxonomy places the organism in Eukaryota, Metazoa, Chordata, Mammalia, Primates, Tarsiidae. The record is from Ensembl.
AGCCUCAUGGUGCUUACCACAGGCUGUGUUGUUAAACUGACUGUAUAGAAAAACGAGGCAGAGUAAAUCCACCCUGUGUACACCUCAGUCCAGGCCCUGUGCCUGGCCUGUAUUGUGAAUGGGGGGACAUGG